UACGUAGGGUGCGAGCGUUAAUCGGAAUUACGGGGCGUAAAGCGUGCGCAGGCGGUUUUGUAAGGCAGAUGUGAAAUCCCCGGGCUUAACCUGGGAACUGCGUUUGAAACUACGUGGCUCGAGUGUGGCAGAGGAAGGUGGAAUUCCACGUGUAGCGGUGAAAUGCGUAGAGAUGUGGAGGAACACCGAUGGCGAAGGCAGCCUUCUGGGCCAACACUGACGCUCAUGCACGAAAGCGUGGGGAGCAAACAGG
This 253-nucleotide ribosomal RNA is filed under the name uncultured bacterium. RNAcentral's name for it is "partial 16S ribosomal RNA". It matches the Rfam family "Bacterial small subunit ribosomal RNA", at positions 524 to 776 of the family's 1533-position model. The record is from RNAcentral.